ACGCUAGCGGCAGGCCUAACACAUGCAAGUCGAGGGAGAAGCCCUUUCGGGGGCAGAAACCGGCGCACGGGUGCGUAACGCGUAUGCAACCUACCUUUCACAGGGGGAUAGCCCGAGGAAAUUUGGAUUAAUACCCCAUAAUAUUAUUGGAUGGCAUCAUUUGAUAAUUAAAACUGCGGUGGUGAAAGAUGGGCAUGCGUCCUAUUAGCUAGUUGGAGUGGUAACGGCACCCCAAGGCUACGAUAGGUAGGGGUCCUGAGAGGGAGAUCCCCCACACUGGUACUGAGACAGGGACCAGACUCCUACGGGAGGCAGCAGUGAGGAAUAUUGGUCAAUGGUCGGAAGACUGAACCAGCCAUGCCGCGUGCAGGAAGAAUGCCUUAUGGGUUGUAAACUGCUUUUAUAUGGGAAGAAUAAGGCGUACGUGUACGUUGAUGACGGUACCAUAUGAAUAAGCAUCGGCUAACUCCGUGCCAGCAGCCGCGGUAGUACGGAGGAUGCGAGCGUUAUUCGGAAUCAUUGGGUUUAAAGGGUCUGUAGGCGGGCUAUUAAGUCAGGGGUGAAAGGUUUCAGCUUAACUGAGAAAUUGCCUUUGAUACUGGUAGUCUUGAAUAUCUGUGAAGUUCUUGGAAUGUGUAGUGUAGCGGUGAAAUGCUUAGAUAUUACACAGAACACCGAUUGCGAAGGCAGGGGACUAACAGACAAUUGACGCUGAGAGACGAAAGCGUGGGGAGCGAACAGGAUUAGAUACCCUGGUAGUCCACGCUGUAAACGAUGGAUACUAGCUGUUUGGCGCAAGCUGAGUGGCUAAGCGAAAGUGAUAAGUAUCCCACCUGGGGAGUACGCACGCAAGUGUGAAACUCAAAGGAAUUGACGGGGGCCCGCACAAGCGGUGGAGCAUGUGGUUUAA
Molecule: ribosomal RNA, 910 nt
Filed under: uncultured bacterium
Lineage: Bacteria
Description: bacterial SSU rRNA
Rfam family: Bacterial small subunit ribosomal RNA
Source: RNAcentral